GAAAUGCGAUAAGUAGUGUGAAUUGCAGAAUUCAGUGAAUCAUCGAAUCUUUGAACGCACAUUGCGCCCCUUGGUAUUCCAUGGGGCAUGCCUGUUCGAGCGUCAUUUGUACCCUCAAGCUCUGCUUGGUGUUGGGUGUUUGUCCCGUCUCCGCGCGUGGACUCGCCCCAAAGUGAUUGGCAGCCGGCGUACUGGUCCCGGAGCGCAGCACAUUUCGCGCAAACGAGUGCCUUGGUACGGCGGCGUCCAUAAGCCCCUCUCUCACGCUCUUGACCUCGGAUCAGGUAGGGAUACCCGCUGAACUUAAGC
Molecule: unclassified non-coding RNA, 309 nt
Filed under: plant metagenome
Description: partial contains 5.8S ribosomal RNA, internal transcribed spacer 2, and large subunit ribosomal RNA
Rfam family: 5.8S ribosomal RNA (bases 1-105)
Source: RNAcentral